RNAcentral lists this transfer RNA (88 nucleotides) under Takifugu rubripes (torafugu). It matches the Rfam family "tRNA". Rfam says of the family: Transfer RNA (tRNA) molecules are approximately 80 nucleotides in length. Their secondary structure includes four short double-helical elements and three loops (D, anti-codon, and T loops). Further hydrogen bonds mediate the characteristic L-shaped molecular structure. tRNAs have two regions of fundamental functional importance: the anti-codon, which is responsible for specific mRNA codon recognition, and the 3' end, to which the tRNAs corresponding amino acid is attached (by aminoacyl-tRNA synthetases). tRNAs cope with the degeneracy of the genetic code in two manners: having more than one tRNA (with a specific anti-codon) for a particular amino acid; and 'wobble' base-pairing, i.e. permitting non-standard base-pairing at the 3rd anti-codon position. Lineage: Eukaryota; Metazoa; Chordata; Actinopteri; Tetraodontiformes; Tetraodontidae. The record is from Rfam by way of RNAcentral.
CCUUCGAUAGCUCAGUUGGUAGAGCGGAGGACUGUAGUGGGUUCAUUCAGGCAUCCUUAGGUCGCUGGUUCAAAUCCGGCUCGAAGGA